UUUGUUGAUAUACAUGAAAAAUUAAAUCCUACAUUUUUCUAUGUACGUAUCAUUUGAAUACCAAAAAGAUGCUAUAUAGUAUUGGUGUUUAUAUGCUGCUCUUAUCUUAUACGUAACAAUUCCUAAACUUUUCAUUUAUUUGAUAUUUUUGGUGCUGUCUUCUUCACCUGUGCUUCUUUUCAUAAGUGAAGGGUUUUAUUAACAUCUAUAAAUACACAAUGAGCAAGCGAAAGAGUCGAGGUUCGGAAUGGAGUCCUCCAUCACCAGAAAGUGGCAAAUCAUCGUCACCCAAUUUACCGGAGUUAUUGUCGUCGUCUUCAUCUUCGUCUUCAAAAUCAUAUUCAUCGAAGAUGAUUGUUCCUGAGGUAACUUCAAUGGCGACUAAAGAAGAAGAUAAUGAGGAGGAGUAUGCAAAGGCAGUUACAAAAGAGAUGGUUCUUGUUGGUUGUCCUAAAUGCUACAUGUAUGUUAUGUCCUCAGAGGAUGAACCACAGUGCCCCAAGUGUAAGACUACUGUAUUUCUUGAUCUUUUCGGAGAUGAAGAUUGAUAGCAAUAAUUGAGAUGAAUCAGACUGUUUUAUGUUUUUAUUGAAAAUACAUGUAUGGUUACUCUA
Molecule: long non-coding RNA, 614 nt
Organism: Lathyrus oleraceus (garden pea)
Lineage: Eukaryota; Viridiplantae; Streptophyta; Magnoliopsida; Fabales; Fabaceae
Exons: 2
Source: RefSeq, a predicted model, not a curated record